Molecule: long non-coding RNA, 1959 nt
Organism: Equus asinus (donkey)
Lineage: Eukaryota; Metazoa; Chordata; Mammalia; Perissodactyla; Equidae
Source: Ensembl
AUUAGUAGACCAGACACAGCUGAGGAGAGACUCUGUGCUUGACGCUCUCUCGGUAGAAACUUCCAAAACCUUAUCUGUAGAAGAACAAAGAUAAGAAUUACAUCUGACUUCUCAGAAACCAUGCAAGCAAGAAGAGGAGUAAAAUAUUGAAAGUGUUGAGAGAAAAUAACCACCAACCUAGGAUUCUGUAACCUGAGAAAUCAUCCUUCAAAAGUGAAUGAGAAAUUACGACCUUCUCAGACAAAACAAUUGAGGGAAUUAGUUGCCAGUAGAUCUACCUUGCAAGAAAUGUUGAAAGAAGUUCUUUACAGAGAAGGAAUGUAAUAUAGGGCAUAAACUUGGAUCUACAUAAAAAAGGGAAGAAAAUUGAAGAAGGAAUAAAUGAAGGUAAAUACCAAGAAGUAGAAUUGCUAGAUAAUAUGCCCCCAGGUACAUAGCUGUGUAUUCUUAGUUGUGGGUCCUUCUAGUUGUGGCACGUGGGACGCUGCCUCAGCAUGGCUUGACGAGCGGCACCAUGUCUGUGCCCAGGAGCGAAACCGACAAAACCCUGGGCCGCCUGCAGCAAAGUGUGCGAACUUAACCACUCAGCCACGGGGCCGGCCCUGGUGUCAAGGUAAUCUUGACAUCAUAAAAUGAGUCAAGAAGCAUGCCCUCCUCUUCAUUUUUUCAGAAGAAUUUGAGAAGGACUGGUACUAAAUCUUCUUUGAAUGUUUGGUAAAAUUCACCAGAGAAGCCAUGUGGUCCUGGACUUUUGUCUUUGGAGGUGUUUGAUUACUUUUUCAAUCUCCUUACUAGUGAUAGGUCUAAUCAGAUUCUCUAUUUCUUCUUGAUUCAGUUUUGGAAGGUUUCUGUUUCUUCUAGAUUAUCCAAUUUGCUUGCAUAUAGCUUUUCAUAGUAUUCUCUUAUAGUUCUUUGUAUUUCUGUGGUAUCCAUUGUAAUUUCUCCUCUUUUGUUUCCAAUUUUAUUUAUUUGAACCUUCUCUUUUUUUUCUUAGUGAGUCUAACUAAAGGUUUGUCAAUUUUCUUUAUCUUAUUAAAUAACCAGUUCUUCAUUCCAUUGAUCUUUUCUAUUGUUUUUUUAGUCUCUCUUUCAUUUAUUUCUGCUCUGGUUUUUAUUAUUUCCUUCCUUCUACUGACUUUGGGAUUCAUUUCUUCUUUUUCUGUUCCUUUAGGUGUAAUGUUAGAUUAUUUAUUUGAGAUCUUUCUAAUUUCUUAAUAUAUGAAUUUACUGCUAUAGACUUUCCUCUCAGUAAUGCUUUUGCUGCCUCCUUUAAGUUUUGAUAUGUUGUAUUUCCCUUUUUAUUUGUUUUGAGAUAACUUUUUAUUUCCCUUUUGAUUUCUUCUCUGACCCAUUGGUUGUUUAGAAGUGUGUUAUAUAGCUUCCACAUAUUUGUGGAUCUCCUCACUUUCCUCUUGUUGAUUUCUAGUUUCAUACUGUUGUGGUCAGAAAAGAUAGUGGGUAUGAUUUCAAUCUAUUUACAUUUCCUGAGAUCUGUUUUGUGUCCUGUCGUAUCAUCUAUCCUGGUGAAUGUUCUGUGUGCACUUGAGAAGAAUGUAUAUUCUGCUGCUGUUGGAUAGAAUAUUCAAUAUAUAUCUUUUAAAUCCAUUUGGUUUAAAGUAUGGUUCCAUUCUAACAUUUCCUUGUUGAUUUUCUGUCUGGAUGAUCUAUCUAUUGAUGAUAAUGGAGUACUGAAGCCCCCUAUUAAUAUUGUAUUGUUGUCUAUUUCUCCCUUUAGAUCUGUUAGUAUUUUUUCAAUAUAUUUUGGUGCUCUGAUGUUGGGUGUGUAUGUAUUUAUGACUGUUACAUCUUCUUGUUGUAUUGACCCUUUUAUCAUUUAUAAUAUCCUUCUUUGUCUCUUGUCAUUAUUUUUGGCUUGAAGCAUACUUUUUCAGCUGUAAGUAUGGCUAUCCCUGCUUUCUUUUGGUUUCUACUUACAUGGAGUAUGUUUUUCUAUCGCUU